RNAcentral lists this unclassified non-coding RNA (355 nucleotides) under soil metagenome. Its description in RNAcentral is "partial contains 5.8S ribosomal RNA, internal transcribed spacer 2, and large subunit ribosomal RNA". The stretch from base 1 to 120 matches the Rfam family "5.8S ribosomal RNA", at positions 35 to 154 of the family's 154-position model. The record is from RNAcentral.
GAUGAAGAACGUAGCGAAAUGCGAUAAGUAGUGUGAAUUGCAGAAUUCAGUGAAUCAUCGAAUCUUUGAACGCACAUUGCGCCUUCUAGUAUUCUGGGAGGCGUGCCUGUUUGAGCGUCAUUAAACCUCUCUCAAGUAUGAUUACUUGGAUGUGAAGGAAGAGUACCUUAAACUUAAGGAGUGUUCUCCUUUGAAAUUGAUUAGCAGAUGGUAAUGUUAUUAAAUCCCUGAUGUUGUAAGAAAUAACAGUGGUUUUGUAGACUAUUAUCUAGCUUUAAAUUAUAAUUUUUAUUAUGGUUGACCUCAAAUCAGGUAAGGAUACCCGCUGAACUUAAGCAUAUCAAUAAGCGGAGGA